This 419-nucleotide small nucleolar RNA is filed under the name Hanseniaspora osmophila. RNAcentral describes it as "Small nucleolar RNA snR37". It matches the Rfam family "Small nucleolar RNA snR37". Lineage: Eukaryota; Fungi; Ascomycota; Saccharomycetes; Saccharomycodales; Saccharomycodaceae. The record is from Rfam by way of RNAcentral.
CACAUCAGUAGUGGUUAAUACUAUCUCAAGAUAAUAUUAAUUACCAAAUUAUUAUAGGAACCUUAAUAUUCGCUACUGUUUCAUUCUACGAUUCUGCUCCCUGGUGUYCAUUGCAUACGUGCUUUGGGCAACACGCAGAUGAAGUUGAUACUGGAUUGAAAUGGUUACAGAAUAACUUUUUACAACCCAUAUAGCUGAGUCGGAACUGACCGAGCCCAAACAACUUGGCCACAGUUUUGACUUCGUUUCUGGUUUCUUAGAUCAAUCACCGUUACAUUACGAAAAGGUCUACUCUCUCUCUUCUCGCUUCACAAAAAGCUUUUAGAUGGGUAGGUAUUGCAUGUUUUUUCCAGAGGAUCGUGUCAUUACGGUCUGAGAGUUUGGAACUCCGCUGUGCUCUUUUUCGUGGUAAUACAUAU